CACUGGGGCACAGGAAAAAAAUGCCAGAGAUGUCCACCCCUAAUUUUUUUCCUCUCCUCUUCUGGGUUUCUGUUGUAAUGGAUUGAAAAUACACAGGAGAUGUAAUGCAAAACUUGGCUUUGAUUUUUUUUUCCCACCUAACUCUUUAAAGGUUUGGAAAGAUUUGAUUACAUGGCAGGGAAAGUAAAAAUGUGGAUGAGAUAUCCUGACGCUCAGGCCACAUGACCAGGUGAUAAGGCGUUCAGAGACUGCCAGCGGCAGCUGCUGGCUCAGGUGCGGCCUGUGUGGGAGGACUCGUGUCUCGGUGGUUACAGAGAAGCUGGCUUCCACGGUGUGAACCCGACUGAAUCACAGGCCGCUUUUUUGUUCUCCCUCGGCCUUGGAGGGCCUGGGACGUUCCUGUUGCCCAACAUCCUGGUGAGCUGAGAACAUUCUGUAGAUUAAUUAGGUUCUCUCCUCUGGCUCAGCAGGUCUGUUCUAGCCAUUUGACCAAAGGCUCUCUGAUAUUUUCUACCAGCCUUAGAACGACAGUCUGCAGAUGUGUGCACAUAAAUGUCUGGGAGGAGCACACAGAUACUGUGGGAGGAGUGGGUCCGGCGUAGCUAUUGGGAGAUCUCGCUCGUACACAUGGCGCUACAUAGAAAGAAUGCCCUGAGGUGAAGGUGACAGCUCGGCAGUUUCUUAAUACCCUGAACUUGAGCGUGGCCUGCGCUAGAGAAAAUACACGGUGCUUCUUAAAAACAAAAGCCAGCAGCCUGCAAGAGGGCUGUGCCUGCGAGUUCCUGGGAGCAGGAGGGGGCUGUUCCUCCGCCCCUGGCUCCAGUUUCACCCAAGUCACUUCACAGCAGUUGGAAGGAGGUCACCAAUUGUUGAGUGUAGGCGGGGGGCGGGGAGGGAGAGGAAGAGGGAUGAAAAGGGAAGGCCCGGGUCAGCUGGGAGAGGAGCUCGCGGGCUUUCCGGCGGGCUGGCCUGAAGUGGAAGGGCCCAGGGCUGCCUGCCACCCUCAGAUGCCACGCAGGUGUUGGGAGGGCACCCGUCUGUGGGCUCAGGGACGUGUUCCCACCGACAGGCACAGAACGGAAAGCACCUUGGGGGAGACGCCCUUCUCCCCAUCUCAGGAGGGAGGCCGGGCCUGCAGACCUCCAGCCCUUCCCCAGCGCUCGCUGUGAGCUCCCCCCCCCCACCCGCCCCCCACGUGCUGGGGAGCAGGUCCGUUUCCCCACCAGUUUGCCUCUGGUCUUUGUGUUUGCUCUGAGGCCAGGCGCGCCCCCUGCUGCAGGCCUGGGCUCCUGUGUGGAGUUCUCCUUUCAGAUGUUGCUAAAAUGUCUUGAAAGGCUGCGGCCACACCAACAGACGUCGUCCGGCCUUCUUCACACGCAACGAAGCGCCCAGGUGGAAAUGCAUGUACCCGCGGCAGCUUCUCGGCAGCGGGCUUCCUGGGACGGAAGACACAGGCUCGCCCGAGGGAGACGGAAGCAGGGGAUCUGCUAGAACUCAGCUCGCCUCCUCCUUUCUCAGCAGGGCAGAGAAUCAUGGGCUUGUGCUGACGAAAGCUCCAGAAAAUGGACUCAUUUAACCUUUCCAAAGAUAUUAUCCAAGCUGCAAAAUCUUGGCAAUCUGAAGACCUUUUAAGUCGAUAUACCAAAGAGCUUUAGUCAGGAUUGAAUGCAAAAUGCCAAAAUUUCACUUUUAAAAUCAUCGUAACAUCUAAAUACAACCUAAGCACACUUGUAAACUGAUGCCGAACAGGCACUUGGAGAGCCCUCCCUGCACCCCUUCCUCGCCCCCUCCUUUGUGCAAAUGCUGUUUGCCCAGAACUUCAGCCACUGAAAAUCCUGGGAACUUUCUCUUCCUGGCUGCCAACCUAGCAGUUUGGACUCACAGACGAGAUUUUUAAAUCACUGAGGGAUUUAAGCCUCUCUGUGUCACAGAAAAGCGAACACCCUCCCAGUUGAAGGUGGCCCCAAAGAUGCGGGCCUGGGACCCAGGACUUCUGCAGGAGAGUGGACGCCUGGGUGCCCCCCGCCUUGCCCUGCACAUGAAUAACAGAGUACACCAGUCAUCAUAAGAAGAAAAAUUCACAUUUAAAGUUUGGAAAGCAACAGGACAAAGGUCUGUCUUCAGUGGUGCGUAGACAUGCUCGUGAUUGAAUUGGAAAUAGUUCUCUUUCCUUCUCUCUGACUUCCUAACUGAAAAGCUGCAGCGUGGGGAGAAAGGCUGCUCAGAAGCCUGGAGCCAGAACACGCACCCCGGCUUUUGCAGGGCCGGCUCACUUGGUUAGAAUCAAAGGAAAAGCCUUGUUAUUUGGGAAGCUGGGCGUCCUCACCAAAUUAGGGGAUUUAAUUUGCAGAUAUCUAAGGAGUGCUUUGAAAUGAAAGAUGAACUAAAAUCUGCUCUGAGGCCCGUGAUUUUUCACCAGUGAAGGACUCUCUUGCUGCUGGACAUACAUGAAAAGCAUCAUCUGAUCUGAAACGCAAGUCCCUGCAAGACAGAGGAGAGACUUUAUAAACAUUUUAUACCAUUCUAUGAAAUCAAUUCGAUUCAGGGCUAGAAUUCAAGAAGUAAUCCAUGGGCAAGUAUAUCUGAUGGUAAACCCAAACGAUUAUAUUGUUAACCUCUUGUACUUUUUUUAAUUUUUUAUUAUUUGAUAUUAUUAUCACAAAAGUCGCUGGAACAGGAUCCAUGAGCUGCUUCUUCACUGCUUAGUGUUUUCAGAAGCUGAUGGAUUAUUAAGCUCCAAUUGAAUACUUGAUUUCCAAUGAUUCCAUUAAUUUUUCUGGUUUGUGGUAGGAUUUGAUUUACUUAUUUUGUACUUUAACACACCAAUAAAAAAUAGAUACUAAGAAAUAGUGAAAUUUGUUGCUUCAAAAUAACCCUUAAAAUUUAGAGUUUAGUGAAAUUAAGCAAUUCAAAUAGAGAAACGAUUAUCCUUCAUUUCCUUAAGGCACAGAAAUUGAGACUAGGUUCAAGAACCUUCAUAUUUUAAAAACUGGAAAAUACUGGCUAAGUGAGGACUGGGCGGUCAUCCUCCACACAUGCUCUGUGUGCUUGGAGCGAAGAGGGGAACGCACUGAAUGAGAUGAACUGGAAGGAGGUGCAGCAGCGAAGGAAAUCCUUCUGUUGGGAGAGUUCACGUGUUUAGGAUAAUCCUUCGAAUAGGACGCAACAGUGAUGUGAGGAGAAGCUUUGGAGCUGAUUUAGAUUGAGACAGUCUAUCACAGGCUGUUUGGUUGCAUCCCUUUGGGGCCAGUCUCAUUUUAGGUCUAAAUAUGCAGGAAUGGGGCUCUGGCUUCCAGAAGUUUCAGGCUGCAAAAGGCUGGGGCCACCAUCUUUACAGAUAAUCCAUUAGUUUGAUUCUCUUGGGGGCCAGGAAGAAAACCAAGAACACUCAAUGGACUAUGGGACUCAAAUAAUCCACAGGAGGCGUUUGUAAAGGGGCAAAACUGUGUGUGCCCAGUAAUUCUUGGAGCUCGCAAUAGAGGUGGAGAAGCAGUGAUGGGCCCCACAGCAGCAGGGGCUUGGGAAUGACGGAAAAGAACAAAAUGAUGGAAGGACAGCUGGAAGAAACAGGGAAGCUUCCUUUUAACUGGAUGCUGGGUCUCAGCCUUGAAUAGUUCCUGGCCUUCGGAGGCCUUUUCUCAGGGAGCAUGGCCUGGGGACUCCCUGCUUGCUCUGCUGAGCUUUCAGGGAAGGAGAAAUGGGCAAGGCCAGAGGCGACCAUCAGGUGCUCCGUAGGCACAGAGGCAGAACUCAAGGUUUAGCUUUACCUUAAGAGGGUGACUGCAAAGUGUGCUCCCUGGACCAGGGGCCUCGGCCUCACCUGGGAGCUUGCUAAAAAUGCAAGUUGCUCUCACCCAGACUGAAUCUAAAAUUCUGGGUACAGCCCAGCAAUCUCUGCUCACACUUUCUCCAGAUGAUUCUGGUGCAAGCUAACCUUUCAAAAGUCCUGGGUCCCAUUCCCAGAGGCUGUGAUUAAGUUGGUCUAGGGCUGUGGCCUAGACCUGGGGAUUUUGGAAGCCCACAGGUGAUUCUGUUGUGCAGCCAUGGUUGGCAGGCUGUUCACGGUGCUGUUCAACAGGUCCUGCUGUGGGAUGGAAAGGGUCUGUAUCUGCACUGGCCAAUGUGGGAGCCAGCCCUGUGGCUAUUGAGCACUUGGCCCCUGGCUAGUGCAACUGAGGAGCUGAAUUUUUCAUUUCAUUUACUUUUAAUUAAGUUUAAAUAGCUAAAUGUGGCUAUUGUCUGCCUUAUUGGAUAGCAGAGUUCUAGAACCACAGAUAAAUGUAAUACUGUCCCUUUAGUUGAUUUAAAAAUCCAAUGCCUCUGUAAUCCUAGCACUUUGGGAGGCCAAGGUGGGCUGAUCACGAGGUCAAGAGAUCGAGACCAUUCUUGCCAACAUGGUGAAACCCCGUCUCUACUAAAAAUACAAAAAUUAGCCGGGCAUGGUGGCAGGCACCUGUAAUCCCAGCUACUCGGGAGGCUGAGGCAGGAGAAUCACUUGAACCCACGAGGCGGAGCUUGCAGUGAGCCAAGAUUGCACCACUGCACUCCAGCCUGGUGACAGACGGAGAUUCUGUCUCAAAAAAAAAUGCCUCACAGAGUUAAAUAUUUAAGUUGAUAAGAAAAAUGGUAGUCGAGUCUUUGAGGAUUAUUUUAAAAUCCACUUUUGGUGAUAAAUAGAUAAAAACAGUGUGGUAGGGCCCAGAAGUUCUUCCUGAUUUCUACCUGUUGGAGCUGAAUUCCUCAAUUUUACUUGUAGGAGAACGGCUUCCUAAAGGGCACCUUACCCAGCCAUUCCUGCAUGCAAGUGUGUAUGAGAACUGCAGGGGGCAUUAUAUGAAAAUCCAAUUCCUGGGCUCUAUCCCAGAUGUUCCUAUCCAAUAGGUCUGGGUUGGGGCCCUGGAAACUGCAUUUUUGGCAAACCCCUUACUGAUUUGGAUGCACAAGUUUCAAGGAACAGGCACUAAGGAUCGCUGAUGUAGAAUCUGUUUGUCCAUCCAGGAAAGCCAGAGUCACCACACUUGAGUAAAUGGGUUUUGAUGUAGGAAAGGUCUUUAUAAUUCUUUCAUGAAUUCACCAAACUUUAAAAACUGUACUAUUUUUGGCUGGGCUUGGUGGCUCACGCCUGUAAUCUCAGCACUUUGGGGGCCAAGGCGGGUGGAUCAUGAGGUCAGGAGAUCGAGACCAUCCUGGCUAACACGGUGAAAACCUGUCUCUACGAAAAAUACAAAAAAAAAAAAUUAGCCGGGCGUGGUGGCGGGUGCCUGUAGUCCCAGCUACUCAGGAGGCUGAGGCAGGAGAAUGGCGUGAACCC
Molecule: long non-coding RNA, 5311 nt
Filed under: Homo sapiens (human)
Lineage: Eukaryota; Metazoa; Chordata; Mammalia; Primates; Hominidae
Description: HSALNT0253388
Source: RNAcentral